GGGCGUGUGGUCUAGUGGUAUGAUUCUCGCUUUGGGUGUAUUCCAAACGUGCGAGAGGCCCUGGGUUCAAUUCCCAGUAUGCCCC
Molecule: transfer RNA, 85 nt
Filed under: Zygosaccharomyces bailii ISA1307
Lineage: Eukaryota; Fungi; Ascomycota; Saccharomycetes; Saccharomycetales; Saccharomycetaceae
Description: transfer RNA-Pro(TGG)
Rfam family: tRNA
About the family: Transfer RNA (tRNA) molecules are approximately 80 nucleotides in length. Their secondary structure includes four short double-helical elements and three loops (D, anti-codon, and T loops). Further hydrogen bonds mediate the characteristic L-shaped molecular structure. tRNAs have two regions of fundamental functional importance: the anti-codon, which is responsible for specific mRNA codon recognition, and the 3' end, to which the tRNAs corresponding amino acid is attached (by aminoacyl-tRNA synthetases). tRNAs cope with the degeneracy of the genetic code in two manners: having more than one tRNA (with a specific anti-codon) for a particular amino acid; and 'wobble' base-pairing, i.e. permitting non-standard base-pairing at the 3rd anti-codon position.
Source: RNAcentral